This 261-nucleotide long non-coding RNA is filed under the name Homo sapiens (human). Its description in RNAcentral is "non-protein coding lnc-CCL2-12:1". Lineage: Eukaryota; Metazoa; Chordata; Mammalia; Primates; Hominidae. The record is from RNAcentral.
ACUCUCACCACUCAUUCAACAUCGUUCUGUAAGUUCUAGCCAGUGCAACAAGGCCAGAAAAGAAAAUAAAAGGCAUACAUGUCAGAAAGGAAGAAAUUAAACUAACCCUAUUUGAAAUUACGUGAUUGUCUACAUAUAAAGUACCAAAGAAUCCACAACAAAACCGUCUACAACUAAUAAGUGAAUUCGGCAAGGUUGCAAGACAAGAUCAAUAUACAAAAAUCAACUGUAUUUCUAUAUACUAACAAUAAACACAUGGGC